AGUCGAACGGUAACAUUUCUAGCUUGCUAGAAGAUGACGAGUGGCGGACGGGUGAGUAAUGCUUGGGAACUUGCCUUUGCGAGGGGGAUAACAGUUGGAAACGACUGCUAAUACCGCAUAAUGUCUUCGGACCAAACGGGGCUUCGGCUCCGGCGCAAAGAGAGGCCCAAGUGAGAUUAGCUAGUUGGUAAGGUAACGGCUUACCAAGGCGACGAUCUCUAGCUGUUCUGAGAGGAAGAUCAGCCACACUGGGACUGAGACACGGCCCAGACUCCUACGGGAGGCAGCAGUGGGGAAUAUUGCACAAUGGGGGAAACCCUGAUGCAGCCAUGCCGCGUGUGUGAAGAAGGCCUUCGGGUUGUAAAGCACUUUCAGUUGUGAGGAAAAGUUAGUAGUUAAUACCUGCUAGCCGUGACGUUAACAACAGAAGAAGCACCGGCUAACUCCGUGCCAGCAGCCGCGGUAAUACGGAGGGUGCGAGCGUUAAUCGGAAUUACUGGGCGUAAAGCGCACGCAGGCGGUUUGUUAAGCUAGAUGUGAAAGCCCCGGGCUCAACCUGGGAUGGUCAUUUAGAACUGGCAGACUAGAGUCUUGGAGAGGGGAGUGGAAUUCCAGGUGUAGCGGUGAAAUGCGUAGAUAUCUGGAGGAACAUCAGUGGCGAAGGCGACUCCCUGGCCAAAGACUGACGCUCAUGUGCGAAAGUGUGGGUAGCGAACAGGAUUAGAUACCCUGGUAGUCCACACCGUAAACGCUGUCUACUAGCUGUGUGUGCCUUUAAGGCGUGCGUAGCGAAGCUAACG
Molecule: ribosomal RNA, 800 nt
Filed under: Alteromonas sp.
Lineage: Bacteria; Pseudomonadati; Pseudomonadota; Gammaproteobacteria; Alteromonadales; Alteromonadaceae
Description: bacterial SSU rRNA
Rfam family: Bacterial small subunit ribosomal RNA
Source: RNAcentral